This is a long non-coding RNA of Amphiprion ocellaris (clown anemonefish), 3642 nucleotides long. RefSeq lists it as uncharacterized. The record is from RefSeq and is a predicted model, not a curated record. The transcript has 4 exons. Lineage: Eukaryota; Metazoa; Chordata; Actinopteri; Pomacentridae.
UUGAUAUCUAUGGUAGCUAUGCUAGUAUGGACUUGGGGAGCCAUAUAACCCAGAAUGCAUUUCGCGCCGACCAGCGGGAAAGGCGGAAGAGGAAGCUUUCAGAGACAAUGAAACGGAGAGGAGACACAGAGCACUUUUUCAUGAAGAGAAGUCAGUAGGACAGAGCAGGACAGACUGACAGCUCCAGAGAGGACCAGGGUCAGUCUGAAUGCAGCCAGGGACCAUCAUGUGUUGUUGAGCCAAACAUCCAGGACCAGAGCAGCAACCAUCAACCUCCAGAUGCACCAGUGGAGGAGCCGGAUACUUCUGACCCUGAUGACUGUUCAGAAUGGGAUGGCAGCAGCAGUAGCAGACACGUACCAAAUACUGGGCCUAUAUUUGCUAUACCUAAAGGUCCCCAAGAUAUUUCUCAGACAAGAGCUACAGGCCCAACACAGCCAGUCUUGACAACUUUCCCUCUCACACAAGGACGGAGUAGAUGGAGAGCCUUUAACAGCGGCUGGUACAAAGACUACACGUGGCUUGAGUAUUCUCAGUGCCAGGACACUGCACAUUGUUUUGCAUGCAGGCAUUUCUCACUCCCUUCUGCUCCUGAGACGACAUUUUCCUCGAGUGUUGGAUUUUCUAACUGGAAAAAAGCCAUGUACAAGGAUGGAGGGUUCCAGAUGCAUGCCAAAGCAGAACACCAUCUGAAUGCCAUGGUGGCAUGGACAGAGUAUAAAAGGGGUAAUGAAAAUAAUACAUCUUUACUUCAAGAGAUGGAUAAACAAUACAAAAAAAGGUGGAAGAAAAUAGAAAGUAUAUAAAGACAACUGCUGAUGUCCUGCUCUGCACAGCCACCCAAAACAUUGCACAGCGUGGCCACCGAGAGUCAGAAGGCUCCGGCAACAAAGGGAACACAAAAGUUUCCUGCAUUUUGAACAUGCUGAUAAGCUUGAUGCCACUGGGCUAACAGAAAAAAUUGUGAAUAGCCUCCAAAAAUAUGGAUUGGAAUGGAAAGAAGAGCUGGUUGGGCGAGGUUACGAUGGGGCCUCUGAUGAGCGGUAGACCAACGGUGUAUCUGCACGGAUACAGUCUCAGGCUCAGCAAGCUUUUUAUGUGCACUGUAAUGCACAUUGUCUCAGUUUGGUGAUUGUGGACACUGUGAAAGCAGUGCUGGAGGCAUCAUGCUUUUUUUCUUUGAUUCGACAGCAGGCCGGAUUUGGCCCGUGGACCUGACUUUGGACAUGCCUGCUUUAACAGCUCAGUUUGGAGAAAAGAUUGAACCUCUCUAAACACCAAAGGAAUUCCCUGAAGGAUUUAUUUUGUAAAGCUAUGAGUUGGCCUAAUCAGCACUUUACACCUGCAUUUGGACUUUUUUUAGUUUUAAAAUGUAGUUUCAUUGUAACUGUGUAUAUGCCACUAUUCCAAGGUGUAUUUACUAUAAUGAUUUCUUUUGUAAUAAAGGAAAAACAAGGCAGAAAGUAUCAUAAUGCUUCAAUGUAGUCAGAUAUAAAACAAAAAAAAAAAAAUCAAAUGUAGCGUUUUGGCAUCAAAUUAUGGAACUCUUCUAAACAGUCUUGGAGAUGUUACCUAUUAAAUGUGAGCUUUAGAGACUGUGUUGUAUAGCUAAUAUAUAAUUUAUAAAUUACGUCUAAUUAAUAAAUAUAAUUCAUAAACUGCACUGGUUUCUCAGAGCCAUUUUGAACUUAAAAAGCAUGUCCAUGGUGAGGAACCCUAAAAGUUUCCUUGAAGUUCUACUGUUAAAGGUGGACCAGAAUAAAAUGCAGUGAAGUCUGGAGGAGAUAAAAGCAUGCCGACCUUUUCUAAGUCCGCAGCAGAGAGCAAUGAACUCAUCUUGUUCCGCUGUCCCAGCUGGUGAAAGCUGGACUGAACCGCUUUAGUCACUGAGGCAUCAAAAGACUACUCAGAGUAAAAAAUAACACAGAUUACAUUCUUCUUUUAUGAAGACUACUUAGUAAAGGACUUAGAUUCCAAGAGGGAUCAUCAUCAGUGCUUCUGCCUUGUUUAUUAAUGAACUAUUAAGGGCUGAUUAUAGCACCAGUAAGCAUGAAGUCACAGCAGAUUUUGAGCUUUUAUGUCUUCAAGGAAAGUAACAUGAGGUUCUCCAAAAAAAAAAUCACAUUACAAAGCAGUGCUUCUCCAUUAAUUUGGCUCAACAUGCUGCCUUAGUUGCCGUUUUCUGACUUCCUGCUGCUUUUCAAGGUGACCUUAGCAGUUGCUGAGGCAAUUUGCGGCCUUGAGUUUUGUCUCAGAGGCCCGAUGGCUCCAGUAUGACCAAAUCUGAGGUCCAGAGGGUGGAGAUAAGAGGUGGAGGAGGUCACGGUGGUGGGCUGAGGGUUCAGUUUCACAUGAUCGUCAGACUCUGUGUUAAGGAAGCACCGGCAGACACAGAAACCUUCUCUGACUCAGACAGGAAGACGAUCUCUGCUCCUUGCAUGUAUUUCCAGUGCUGGGACCAUGUGACUCAUGAACAGACCCUGAUUUACUCCAACACUCCCCCAACUCUCUCCUCUUACCCUCCUCUCCUCCCCCAGUCACACCCCUCUAUGGUUGGGUGGGUGUUGUCAGGCCGUCAGCCAAUGACAUGACGGCGUUCACCCUUUGAAACAAACCCUGAUAAAUCAGUGUGUGUCAGUGCAGAGAGCAAAACACAGAGGAGGAGGUGGUAGGGGGAAUGAAAUGAUUACAGAUAAACUAGAGGCAUGUUUGUAAGGAAACAUGGGUGUGAUGAUGAAGAAAAGACUGCGUAUGAAUAAUCCAAGGCACUUCCAAACCACCUUUCCAUGUGUUUAUUUAGAUUUAGGCAGUGAUUGCUAUGUAUCUGCUGUUGUUUUAUGGUAGAAAGUGUCUGAUGUACAGAAAAUAGUGGAAAAACCAGUGUUGCAUGUAACUGACCUCUGGUGCAAAAGUCACAGUGCAAAGUUCUUCAACUGCUUUCUGUUUUACAUGUCGGGUACAGAACAUUUUGUUGUUGUUUUUUGCUCGGUGCACAGAACACAAUCAACCUAAUGCUAUUCCAGCAGCACAGUAGCACACAAAAAAUCAUUAAAAAAGACAAGAAAAACAGAGAAACAAGUAGUAAAAACAACAUGAAAAUGAUAAAUAGUACCACACUAUGCUAAUAUAAGUUUGCUGCUCUUGCUUUUGUGUUAGCUGAUGGAAAAACACAAAAUGAAGUCUUUUUUCUCCAAUUUUCUUUGUCCAAACUGCACAAAAACUAAACAGAGAAAAGUACAUUCUCUGAGGGGUUCUGCCUUCAUUACAGUCAAGUUUAAGUGACCAGAAUUUUGCUUAUGCUCAAAGCUGCCAAAAAGAAGUCUUUUGUUAGAGGAUCCACAGGCAGCACUGUCAACAGCUUUCACUACUUAAUGCCAAGAAAAUGGAACCCAUGAGAGUUUGUUCAGUGUGUUCUUUGGAUUAUCUGGAGUGGAGUUGGAUGGCAGCAGAAAAAUCACAAAACUUAAUGCUUCUACUCAUAAAUUCAUUGAAUUUGUUGUUUUUCUCUGUAGUUGCUUUUAAUGUUUAAGUGUUUGAUGCUUUUAUACCUUUUAUUUGUUUGUUUUUAUUAUUUGCCUUUUACCUAUAAAGUGUGUUUGAGUGCCCAGAAAAGCGCUAUACAAAUAAAAUGCAUUAUUAUUA